CGCGUAGACGGUUUUUUAAGUCUGGAGUGAAAGUCCUGCUUUCAAGGUGGGAAUUGCUUUGGAGACUGGAAAGCUUGAGUGCGGAAGAGGUAAGUGGAAUUCCCAGUGUAGCGGUGAAAUGCGUAGAGAUUGGGAAGAACACCAGUGGCGAAGGCGACUUACUGGGCCGUAACUGACGUUGAUGCGCGAAAGCGUGGGGAGCGAACA
This 207-nucleotide ribosomal RNA is filed under the name uncultured bacterium. RNAcentral's name for it is "partial 16S ribosomal RNA". It matches the Rfam family "Bacterial small subunit ribosomal RNA", at positions 568 to 774 of the family's 1533-position model. The record is from RNAcentral.